Odocoileus virginianus texanus is the source of this 377-nucleotide non-coding RNA. Lineage: Eukaryota; Metazoa; Chordata; Mammalia; Artiodactyla; Cervidae. The record is from RefSeq and is a predicted model, not a curated record.
CCCUGCUGCUGUCUCUUGUCCUGUAAAGGACCCUGGAAGAGGGAGUGGUCCAUCCUAGCUGCCAACAAGGGCAUUUUUUUUUUUUUUUUAAAGAAUUAACGUUUGAUAAGUAUGCCUAGGCGAUACAAGGGAUGUGAACGACUUUCAGAGAGAUUGUGAAUAUUAUUUGGUGUAUACUAAAAAGCUGGAAAUCCCUAAAUAUAUGCAGUAAGGAUAGAAAGCAAGUUUCUUGAAGAGUCACCUGCUAAACUCUACUAGCGUCUUCUCUACAGUUGAAAUGUCCAGUGUGGUGGAAGUAUAACAUCAAACCAUGCUGAUGAAGCCAAUAGCUGUGGAAAUGAUGGAGCAUGAAAUAAAAAAAACAAAUCCCUGGGGGG